This 756-nucleotide ribosomal RNA is filed under the name uncultured Actinomyces sp. RNAcentral describes it as "bacterial SSU rRNA". It matches the Rfam family "Bacterial small subunit ribosomal RNA", at positions 28 to 776 of the family's 1533-position model. The record is from RNAcentral. Lineage: Bacteria; Bacillati; Actinomycetota; Actinomycetes; Actinomycetales; Actinomycetaceae.
GACGAACGCUGGCGGCGUGCUUAACACAUGCAAGUCGAACGAAAAUACCAAGCUUGCUUGGUUGAUUAGUGGCGAACGGGUGAGUAACACGUGAGUAACCUGCCCCUUACUUUCCUGGAUAACUGCUCGAAAGGGUAGCUAAUACGGGAUAUUCUGACCAGUCUGCAUGGGUUGGUUUGGAAAGGUUGUUUUUCUGGUAAGGGAUGGGCUCGCGGCCUAUCAGCUUGUUGGUGGGGUGAUGGCCUACCAAGGCUUUGACGGGUAGCCGGCCUGAGAGGGUGGACGGUCACACUGGGACUGAGAUACGGCCCAGACUCCUACGGGAGGCAGCAGUGGGGAAUAUUGCACAAUGGGCGCAAGCCUGAUGCAGCGACGCCGCGUGAGGGAUGAAGGCCUUCGGGUUGUAAACCUCUUUCGUCAGGGAACAAGGCACUACGUUUUGGUGGUGUUGAGGGUACCUGGAUAAGAAGCGCCGGCUAACUACGUGCCAGCAGCCGCGGUAAUACGUAGGGCGCAAGCGUUGUCCGGAAUUAUUGGGCGUAAAGAGCUCGUAGGCGGCUGGUCGCGUCUGUCGUGAAAACUUCCGGCUCAACCGGGGGCUUGCGGUGGGUACGGGCCGGCUAGAGUGCGGUAGGGGUAACUGGAACUCCUGGUGUAGCGGUGGAAUGCGCAGAUAUCAGGAAGAACACCGAUGGCGAAGGCAGGUUACUGGGCCGUUACUGACGCUGAGGAGCGAAAGCGUGGGGAGCGAACAGG